This 3131-nucleotide small RNA is filed under the name Rattus norvegicus (Norway rat). Its description in RNAcentral is "uncharacterized LOC102553798". Lineage: Eukaryota; Metazoa; Chordata; Mammalia; Rodentia; Muridae. The record is from RNAcentral.
GACACUGUUUAUCAAAAUCCCCCAAACAGCUGCCUGGAGAGGGUGAUACAGAGAGAACCAGGCCUUUUAAAAUAGGCGUGAAGGGAAGACAGGGUGACAUCCCAGGGUGUCCAGGAGGUUGCUUUAGCCUAAGAGAAUAUCUGAAAAAGAGAUACAGAGAUGAAGGAAAGACCAAACAAGCAAACAAAUAUCUCCCCCUCCAAAAAACCCAAACAACCCACCCUCAAAAAACCAAAAACAAACCACGCUCAGGGCCAGGUGCUGGAUCUGAGGCCACCCAAAUCCAGGCUCCCGUGUCCCAGGACGAGACAUAGAGUUAGAAACAAGACAGUUCUUAAGGCAGGGAGAGCACUCAGAAGCUGACUAUUGCGCUCAGGGCAAAAGCUCCCAAAGCCCUGCCUCUCUUCAGGGCGUGGCCUUCACAGGUCUUUCAGGUAAUGCUACCCUUCCCAUUUGGAGGUUCAAAGUCUUUUCUCAUGUAAUAUUUCGCUCUGUAUGUGAAGCCCAGGUGAGGAACGGCUGUCCAGUCUUUCUCUGCCAAUUGGUUUCUCUUGUGCUAAUCUUGAGGCUUCCAUCUCCAGCCUCCAAUCUCCUGCCACAGUGUACGGUGGCUGGGUCAAGAAAGUAACUUCUGCGGAUAUUAAUAUACGGAGAAGAACAUUUCAUGUUUUCAUACGUAGGACAACAUCGAAGGAGAAGAUAUGGAGGCGCUCUUGUUUCGUCUCAGGAAGAUGUAUCCAUGGGAAGAUUGGACCCAGGACCUUCAGGGAUAUCCAAGUCAAUAGAUGCUCAAGUCCCUUAUGUGAAAAGGCAUGGGGCAGUGAUUGCCUAUAACCUGCACUCCUCUUUCUGUAUCCUUAAAUCUUCUAUAGAUUCCUGUUGGACACCUCAGACAAUACCAACACUAUGUAAAUAGUUGCUGUGCUUUAUUGUUUAGGGAAUAAGGAUAAGAAAAGGAACAUGAUACAUUUGUGUAGACGACAGUUUCCAAAUGUCUUUGAUGCGAGCUUGGUUGAAUCCACAGCUGCGGAACCUAUGCAUAUGAAGGCUGUCACUGUCUGCGCAUGUUUUAGCCUCUUCCAGAAGAAAAGGAUGCCAUUCAUACUUAAAUAAUCCUGUGUGGAUUCCACCCGUUUCCACUUGUUUAUGGAAGGUAUUAAUGGCGGGAUGUAUCCGUGAAAACCAGUCCUGGUUUGUUUUUUUUCAUGGGCUCAUUGUUUGGUGAGGGAGCCAGGCGGUGAACAAAAUAUGAAAUAACAGAUGAGAAGAGCGGUUUGGAACUUACCGAGGGAGGGGCUUAAUGCUCUUGGCCUCAGGCUAUGCAAGUAGCCUCUCCUGGUCUUUCUGCAUCUGUUUUCUCCCUUCUGUUAUUAUUGUUAGAGAUGCCAGAGUGGUCUUUCUCAUAAUAAAGAAGCUCACAAUACUUCCUUCCUUCAAGGCCUUCCAUGAUUCCUUAACACUCACCAAAGCUGUCAUCAAAUGCGAUACACACAGGAGUGUCUCCUGCCUUUCUCAGCCAAUCCAUCUUUUCUUCUCUCUUUCCCUCUGCUGGACCCCACUUGCGGGAGACACUUUUUUCUCCCCUGGUGACUGGAGGAGUAGGCCUGAACAUGCCACUGAGACUCUAUACUGGGUUAACUGAGACGAGAAGACCUGUACUGACUGGACUUGGCACCAUUCCGUGGGCUGAAUCCCGCACUCAGUGAAGAGGAUGAGGCGGUCAGCUCCCCAGAUGUCGCUGCUCCAUGCGUGUAUGUGAUGGAUGACCUGCUGGGGUUAGUGGUUAUGUGACAGGCACCCUGGAUGGGCCAGACCAUCUCCUGUGCUGCUUUGCAGGUGACUUUCUCGGUCCAUUCUACGGCCAAGCAAUUGACAGUCAAGAUUAACGUUCAUGAGUGCUAUCCACCUGGCAGAGGUCCAACAGGCUGAAGACAAAGAAGCCAUUGUGUAAGAGGAAAACAAAAAGAAGCACUGAAGAGAAAUUGUGUGAGUGAGUCAUAUUUGGUUUCUACAUAGUUAUCUCUUAAGCCCCUGUGUUUAAAACUCAAGUUAGUUCUUCUUCCUUUCCCCCAAAUGUCCAUAUUUAGUUGGUUAUUGGGAACCCAUGCAGUAACUCUUUUCCCUUCUGUUCUCAAGGAAGUCAUCUGAGUUCCUUGCCAAAGGUUCCUGUAUCUUGCAGCCAUGAAGGAACACUGGGGAUAUGUCUCCCCUCAUGGUUUCUCAGUUCCAUUGCAGGACUGUUUACCAGAAUUAUCUGUUGAGAGUGGCUCGCCUGUCUCAGUAUCUCCCAGGACUUAGUUGUUCCCAGCCUGCAAAGUCAAGCUAUUGGCAUCUCCUUUGACACCCCACCUACACACUUUGGCCAUAGUCACACUCUGUCACGUCAGGCCCCUGCAUCUGUGCAGUGGCCUGUGUUACGUUGCCUGCACGUAAUGGCAUGUAAUCCCAUUGCUCUAACCAUUUCCCCAGUGCUGAUGUGUUCCCGAUUCUUCAAGACCAGAGUGAUGGCACUCAGCUUCAACCAACCCCUCUGUGUCUUUGGAUAGAGGAAGUUUUCUAUGUUCCACAUCUGUGUGCUUCUGUUUCCUUCCCUGUACUGGGAUACAAUGGGUUAAAUGUGUAACAGCUUCUUGUCCAAGACUGAAAAGUUUGGGGAACACAGCUGUGUUGUUGGUGUCUUCAGUGCAUGGUCUCCAGAUACAGGGCAAUUCUUUAAAUUCAAUAUAUUUUUACCUAUGAUUAUAUUUUCUAUUUUAACUCAUAUUUUAAAAGUUAUAUACAACAGAAAGUCAUCAUGUUAGCCUCAUUUUUUAUGGUUUACCACGUGAUUCUGAACAUUUGUUUACUUCCUACCAUGUAUCAGCAGUGUGAGCUCGAGGCAAUUCUCAGACCAUUCUAUGACUUUGUUCAUCUAUAAAUUGAGUGUAACAUUGGGUGUUGUCCUGCCCACAGAGCGUUUAUGGAGAUUAGAUAAGUUAAUAUUAUAUAUAGUAUUUAAGACAAUGCUUGGUCUGUACUGAACCAGCAUUUUAGGACAAAUGAGAAAGCAAUUGGAGCGUGGGAUGAAACUGAGGAACAUGAAUCACGUGCAAGUGGUAAGGAAUGGGUUGAGCUGGGGCUGGAGAGAUGGC